RNAcentral lists this ribosomal RNA (891 nucleotides) under Bacillus siamensis. RNAcentral's name for it is "bacterial SSU rRNA". It matches the Rfam family "Bacterial small subunit ribosomal RNA", at positions 44 to 920 of the family's 1533-position model. Lineage: Bacteria; Bacillati; Bacillota; Bacilli; Caryophanales; Bacillaceae. The record is from RNAcentral.
GUGCUAUACUGCAGUCGAGCGGACAGAUGGGAGCUUGCUCCCUGAUGUUAGCGGCGGACGGGUGAGUAACACGUGGGUAACCUGCCUGUAAGACUGGGAUAACUCCGGGAAACCGGGGCUAAUACCGGAUGGUUGUUUGAACCGCAUGGUUCAGACAUAAAAGGUGGCUUCGGCUACCACUUACAGAUGGACCCGCGGCGCAUUAGCUAGUUGGUGAGGUAACGGCUCACCAAGGCGACGAUGCGUAGCCGACCUGAGAGGGUGAUCGGCCACACUGGGACUGAGACACGGCCCAGACUCCUACGGGAGGCAGCAGUAGGGAAUCUUCCGCAAUGGACGAAAGUCUGACGGAGCAACGCCGCGUGAGUGAUGAAGGUUUUCGGAUCGUAAAGCUCUGUUGUUAGGGAAGAACAAGUGCCGUUCAAAUAGGGCGGCACCUUGACGGUACCUAACCAGAAAGCCACGGCUAACUACGUGCCAGCAGCCGCGGUAAUACGUAGGUGGCAAGCGUUGUCCGGAAUUAUUGGGCGUAAAGGGCUCGCAGGCGGUUUCUUAAGUCUGAUGUGAAAGCCCCCGGCUCAACCGGGGAGGGUCAUUGGAAACUGGGGAACUUGAGUGCAGAAGAGGAGAGUGGAAUUCCACGUGUAGCGGUGAAAUGCGUAGAGAUGUGGAGGAACACCAGUGGCGAAGGCGACUCUCUGGUCUGUAACUGACGCUGAGGAGCGAAAGCGUGGGGAGCGAACAGGAUUAGAUACCCUGGUAGUCCACGCCGUAAACGAUGAGUGCUAAGUGUUAGGGGGUUUCCGCCCCUUAGUGCUGCAGCUAACGCAUUAAGCACUCCGCCUGGGGAGUACGGUCGCAAGACUGAAACUCAAAGGAAUUGACGGGGGC